RNAcentral lists this ribosomal RNA (323 nucleotides) under uncultured eukaryote. RNAcentral describes it as "partial 18S ribosomal RNA". It matches the Rfam family "Eukaryotic small subunit ribosomal RNA", at positions 1470 to 1796 of the family's 1831-position model. The record is from RNAcentral.
CCCUUCGAUGUUCGGAGCUGCACGCGCGCUACACUGUGGGUGGCAGCAUGUUAGCUUGCCUCGCUCGCAAGAGUGGGGUAAUCGUUUGAAAAUCCCACGUGAUUGGGAUAGGGACUUGUAAUUAUUUCCCUUGAACGAGGAAUCCCUAGUAAGUGCAGGUCAUCAGCUUGCGCUGAUUACGUCCCUGCCCUUUGUACACACCGCCCGUCGCACCUACCGAUUGAAUGGUCCGGUGAAAUCUCGGGACGGCGGCUUGGUCGCUUGCGUCCGACUGCUGAAACUUGAUUAAACCAUAUCAUUUAGAGGAAGGUGAAGUCGUANCA